Non-coding RNA from Candidatus Burkholderia crenata, 177 nucleotides. NCBI's taxonomy places the organism in Bacteria, Pseudomonadati, Pseudomonadota, Betaproteobacteria, Burkholderiales, Burkholderiaceae. The record is from Rfam.
AUCGUCGCGAGGCGGGGUCUGAAGGAAAGCGUGUAGCAAAGCCGCGACCUGACGAACAGAAAUCGGAUGUGAGGCCUACCCAGGCGGACGAGCGAGCAAUGGAUCGCGAAGUCCAUAACCAACCAUCAAGGGCUGGGAUGGUAAAUCCGGCAGGUGUGCGGUGAAGGCGGUUGAGCU